CCUUAAACAAAUGCUGGUGCAGCUCCACCGUAUGUAGAAGAAGCAUAUGAUCUUUCCUUCUUAUUAGCUAGAAUGCUCCAAAUUCUUUAGCUGUGUUUGGAUGAACUCUCUCCUGUCAUAUAACACAUAUGCCGAUUAAAGGAUUUGGUACACCUGCACGUGUAGUAGAACUGGUUCCGAUAUGAUAGCAGAGAGCAGGUCCUUUUUUAGUUGGACAUUGAACUGAAUUCUCUGUCUUUGGUGCAUGAUUUCAGUUAUCUUCAGACAUGGUUUGUGUACCUGGCUGACAUAGUUUUUUUUGGUUCUGAUAUGGUAUAGCAAUAUUCCUCAUACAAAGCUGGUGGAGUACAAGGGGCACCAGAACUGGGUUAAUGUCUCGGGGAGCACCUGGUCUUUCUGGGAGGCGGAACUCAGUUCAAGCAUGGUGCUCUGCAUUACAUUGAUUUCAUUCAGGAGGCAAAGAAAGAUGUGGCAUGGGGAAAACUGACCUGUGUAGUUCUAGAUGCAGGCAAAGAAAGAUGUGACAUGAGGCCAGAGGUGGCCGGAUCUGGCAAAGGUAAGCCCCUCCCCUCCUUCUUCGUGCACCAUCUCCUCCUUACCUCACCUUGUCUCAUGUUCCUUUUUGACAGGUCCUCCCCUCCUCACCAUCUCCUUUGCCGGGCCAGGGUUCCGCCGAUCCCCCAAGGUGUAGCUCCUGGCCAUGGGGAAGCGCCAGCAGCCGGAGGCGGCCGAGCAGCCCAUGGCGCCGGUGCGAGGCCCUGCCCUCCUCACCAUCUUGUGAAUGGUGCAGGCCCCGAAGCGAGGCGGCAAGGCGCCGGUGUCGCGAAGAAGAAGGCGGCGUACAAGGUGGUGAACCCGCUGUUCGAGAAGAGGCCGAAGCAGUUUGGAAUCGGUGGCGACCUGCCGCACAAGAAGG
Molecule: non-coding RNA, 916 nt
Organism: Triticum urartu
Lineage: Eukaryota; Viridiplantae; Streptophyta; Magnoliopsida; Poales; Poaceae
Source: RefSeq, a predicted model, not a curated record